GGCAGUUCUCAGGUGUCACACCCAGGAAUCAGGCUCCCUCCUCUCUGGUUCUGGGGGGCACACCCAAGAACCACC
Myotis lucifugus (little brown bat) is the source of this 75-nucleotide non-coding RNA. NCBI's taxonomy places the organism in Eukaryota, Metazoa, Chordata, Mammalia, Chiroptera, Vespertilionidae. The record is from Rfam.